AAUCAACGCUGGCGGCGUGCCUCAGACAUGCAAGUCGAACGCGAAAUUUCCCUUCGGGGAGAAAGUAGAGUGGCGCACGGGUGAGUAACACGUAGGUAAUUUGCCUUUGGGUGGGGAAUAACUCAGGGAAACUUGAGCUAAUACCGCACAAUGCAGCGGCUCGACGUCGAGACAGUUGUUAAAGCGGGGGAUUGGAGCAAUCCGACCUCGCGCCUAAAGAGAAGCCUGCGGCAGAUUAGCUAGUUGGUAAGGUAAUGGCUUACCAAGGCGACGAUCUGUAACCGGCCUGAGAGGGCGGUCGGUCACACUGACACUGACAUACGGGUCAGACUCCUACGGGAGGCAGCAGUCGGGAAUUUUGGGCAA
Molecule: ribosomal RNA, 366 nt
Filed under: uncultured bacterium
Lineage: Bacteria
Description: bacterial SSU rRNA
Rfam family: Bacterial small subunit ribosomal RNA
Source: RNAcentral